Non-coding RNA from Marmota flaviventris (yellow-bellied marmot), 76 nucleotides. Lineage: Eukaryota; Metazoa; Chordata; Mammalia; Rodentia; Sciuridae. The record is from the annotation of a RefSeq genome assembly.
GGCUCGUUAGCUCAGCUGGUUAGAGCUUGGUGCUGAUAACGCCAAGGUCGGGGGUUCGUUCCCCCCGUACAGGCCA